GAUGAACGCUGGCGGCGUGCCUAAUACAUGCAAGUCGAGCGAACGGACGAGAAGCUUGCUUCUCUGAUGUUAGCGGCGGACGGGUGAGUAACACGUGGAUAACCUACCUAUAAGACUGGGAUAACUUCGGGAAACCGUAGCUAAUACCGGAUAAUAUUUUGAACCGCAUGGUUCAAAAGUGAAAGACGGUCUUGCUGUCACUUAUAGAUGGAUCCGCGCUGCAUUAGCUAGUUGGUAAGGUAACGGCUUACCAAGGCAACGAUGCAUAGCCGACCUGAGAGGGUGAUCGGCCACACUGGAACUGAGACACGGUCCAGACUCCUACGGGAGGCAGCAGUAGGGAAUCUUCCGCAAUGGGCGAAAGCCUGACGGAGCAACGCCGCGCGAGUGGUGAAGGUCUUCGGAUCGUAAAACUCUGUUAUUAGGGAAGAACAUAUGUGUAAGUAACUGUGCACAUCUUGACGGUACCUAAUCAGAAAGCCACGGCUAACUACGUG
RNAcentral lists this ribosomal RNA (497 nucleotides) under uncultured bacterium. Its description in RNAcentral is "partial 16S ribosomal RNA". It matches the Rfam family "Bacterial small subunit ribosomal RNA", at positions 28 to 507 of the family's 1533-position model. The record is from RNAcentral.